This 555-nucleotide ribosomal RNA is filed under the name uncultured fungus. Its description in RNAcentral is "eukaryotic LSU rRNA". The stretch from base 187 to 340 matches the Rfam family "5.8S ribosomal RNA". The record is from RNAcentral. Lineage: Eukaryota; Fungi.
UACCGAGUGAGGGCCCUCUGGGUCCACCUCCCACCCGUGUCUAUCGUACCUUGUUGCUUCGGCGGGCCCGCCGUUUCGACGGCCGCCGGGGAGGCCUUGCGCCCCCGGGCCCGCGCCCGCCGAAGACCCCAACAUGAACGCUGUUCUGAAAGUAUGCAGUCUGAGUUGAUUAUCGUAAUCAGUUAAAACUUUCAACAACGGAUCUCUUGGUUCCGGCAUCGAUGAAGAACGCAGCGAAAUGCGAUAAGUAAUGUGAAUUGCAGAAUUCAGUGAAUCAUCGAGUCUUUGAACGCACAUUGCGCCCCCUGGUAUUCCGGGGGGCAUGCCUGUCCGAGCGUCAUUGCUGCCCUCAAGCACGGCUUGUGUGUUGGGCCCCCGUCCCCCUCUCCCGGGGGACGGGCCCGAAAGGCAGCGGCGGCACCGCGUCCGGUCCUCGAGCGUAUGGGGCUUUGUCACCUGCUCUGUAGGCCCGGCCGGCGCCAGCCGACACCCAACUUUAUUUUUCUAAGGUUGACCUCGGAUCAGGUAGGGAUACCCGCUGAACUUAAGCAUAUC